GGCGAGAUGACACCCGGCGCCCUAAUGAGCUUCUUGGUAUCCGCUCAAACAAUCCAGAGAUCUCUAUCCCAACUAUCAAUCAUCUUCGGAACAGCAAUCAAAGGAUGGACUGCUGGUGGACGAGUUCUUCAAUUCUCUCGUCUUGAACCAUCUAUCCCAAUGGAUACAGGUGUCUGUAUUCCGUAUCAUUCACUUUGGGGUGACAUUAAAUUCGAAGACGUCUCGUUUUCCUAUCCAACACGGCCCGGCCAUACGGUGUUUGAAAAUCUGACGCUGAGUAUUCCAGCUGGACAAGUUGUCGCACUUUGUGGUCCCAGUGGAGAAGG
This 326-nucleotide small RNA is filed under the name Caenorhabditis elegans. RNAcentral describes it as "Unclassified non-coding RNA Y48G8AL.21". Lineage: Eukaryota; Metazoa; Nematoda; Chromadorea; Rhabditida; Rhabditidae. The record is from RNAcentral.